CCUACGGGAGGCAGCAGUGGGGGAUAUUGCGCAAUGGGGGAAACCCUGAUCCAGCGACGCCGCGUGAGUGAAGACGGUCUUCGGAUCGUAAACCCCUGUCCGCAGUGAAGAUCAUGCCGGUAGCUGAUGAGGAGGCUCCGGCUAACUACGUGCCAGCAGCCACGGUAAUACGUAGGGAGCAAGCGUUCUCCGGAUUUACUGGGUGUAAAGGGUGCGUAGGCGGCUUGGCAAGUCAGGAGGGAAAUCCAUGGGCUGAACCCCUGAACUGCUUGUGAAACUGCAUGGCGAGAGUGGAGGAGAGGAAGGCGGAAUUCCGGGUGUAGCGGUGAAAUGCGUAGAUAUCAGGAGGAACACCAGUGGCGAAGGCGGCCUGCUGGACUGUAACUGACGCUGAGGCACGAAAGCGUGGGUAGCAAACAGGAUUAGAUACCCUGGUAGUC
RNAcentral lists this ribosomal RNA (440 nucleotides) under uncultured bacterium. RNAcentral describes it as "partial 16S ribosomal RNA". It matches the Rfam family "Bacterial small subunit ribosomal RNA", at positions 338 to 795 of the family's 1533-position model. The record is from RNAcentral.